This 1060-nucleotide long non-coding RNA is filed under the name Pogona vitticeps (central bearded dragon). Its description in RNAcentral is "lncRNA (ENSPVIG00000002534.1)". The record is from RNAcentral. Lineage: Eukaryota; Metazoa; Chordata; Lepidosauria; Squamata; Agamidae.
ACCUUCUCCAAGCUUUUGGUACUGCUGUGACCACAAUGAACCCUACCAAGGUGAAUUCCAUCAUGUCCCACCAGUGCAACGGUGGUGAAUCAUGGUCAUUUAUUUUUUUUUUUAUUUAUUUAUUUUAUUUCUAUCCCGCCUAUCUGAUUGUAUUCGACCACUCUAGGCGGCUUACAAUAAAAACAAUAAUAUAGUUUUUACAUGACAACUAGAACAUAAUAGAGAUAGAGAACAAAUUAGAAGAACAAAUCGUCAAGGGUUUUUUGUUGGGAAGGCCUGCCUGUACAUCAGUGUUUUUACUUGUUUCUUAAAAAUGCCCAGCGAGGGAGCCACGCGAAUCUCAGGAGGCAAGUUGUUCCAAAGGCGAGGAGCCACCGCCGAGAAGGCCCGAUUUCUGGUCUUUUCCUUUCGGGCCUCUCUCGGCGUCAGGCUCCUCAGCCUCACCUCCUGGCUCGCGCGGGGGACACGGGGCGAAUCAAUACUUUGAAGUCGAUGCGGAAUCGGAUGGGCAGCCAAUGCAAUGCGGCCAGGGUGGGUGAGAUGUGUUGGUAUUUUUUCACUCCACUAAGUAGUCUGGCCGCUGCAUUCUGCACCACCUGGAGUUUCCGCAGCAGCCUCAAAGGUAGCCCCACGUAGAGCGCAUUGCAGUGGUCUAAUCUAUUGGGAUGUUACAGGUUUCAGGGAGAGCGACCGACAAGACCUGCCAUCCUUUGCCUGGAGCGGCUUUUUUCCUCCAGACUUCUCUCAUCUGAAAAGGGGAGACGGGCAGUCCAUGAUGCACAAGUACACAUCCAGGCACUGCGGCAUGUCUUAUUCUGCACGCAUGGAAGGAAAAAGGAAGAAUGAACCCUCAACUCCAGGGGCUGCCAGCACGCACGCAUGCGCACCCACACCCACUCACCCCAAGCGCCGCCAACUUGCUGCAGAUUGUAUGUGUCAGGGGAAAGAAAUGCCUCGGAAACCUCAGGCAUAUGAGUCCAAGGCCAGGAUCCUACUGCUAGUCUCAACCAGAGAGCAGAUCCACUGCACCAACGGCUUAAUGGUAAGUGAACACUUCUGU